AUCUCACUAAGCGGAGGAAAAGAAAUUAACGAAGAUUGCCCUAGUAGCAGCGAGCGAAGUGGCAAAAGCUCAAUUCGAAUCCGUGUGGUUCCCACACUGAAUUGUAAUCUGAAAUCUACAGCAAAAGGAGAUCUCAAGGCAUAACUUGCUUGGAAAAGCAGGCCACAGAGGGUGAUAGUCCCGUGCAUGGCUUUGAGUGAACCGAAUGUUUUAGAUUAAAGAGUCGGGUUGUUUGGGAUUGCAGCCCUAAAUGGGAGGUAGACUUCUUCUAAAGCUAAAUAUAGAUGGGAGACCGAUAGCGCACAAGUA
RNAcentral lists this ribosomal RNA (309 nucleotides) under uncultured eukaryote. RNAcentral describes it as "partial large subunit ribosomal RNA". It matches the Rfam family "Eukaryotic large subunit ribosomal RNA", at positions 40 to 350 of the family's 3401-position model. The record is from RNAcentral.